ACAAGACGACCGACCCUUCUCUAGCGUCGUUGGCGGCGGCGGAGCAGGUGCCAGCGCACGGCGUCAGGGACCAUGGCGCCGCCGGCGGAGCCACGCCGACCGUACAAGAGACCGGCCAUCUCCGACCAGCAGCGCCGCCGGGAGCUUGCCCUCCAGGCGCAGUCCGCCCGGCGCGCCGACGCCCAGGCGCGCGCCCGCGCCCUCGCCACUUCCCUCCUCACCACCCAGGCCCCUGCCGCAGCCACCCGUCGCCACGAGGAGGAAGAGUACGACGAGCAUGUGGAGGAGGAUCAAGAGCACGAGCUCACCGUCGCUGGCGUCGCGGCGGCGGCGGCCGCCUCCAGGCUCCGCGGCGCCGACGCGCGCCGGUGGUUCGCGCGCCAGAUCAUGCUUCCUGAGUGGAUGGUCGAUGCCCCGCCCCACCUCUCCACCGACUGGCAUGUGUUUGCACGACCUUCUGGCAAACGAUGUUUGGUUGUGUCAUCCAAUGGCAUGACGAUCAGCAGGGUUCGUAACGGGUCCAUCCUUCAUCGCUUCCCUUCGGCUCUACCGAAUGGAUCAAAGAGAGAUAUUUCUGGCCCAGCGAGCUCGUACUCCAUUCUUGAUUGCAUUUUUCAUGAGCCUGAUGAAACAUACUAUAUCAUUGAUAUGAUCUGUUGGAGAGGCUAUUCGCUAUAUGACUGCACUGCCGAGUUCAGGUUUUUCUGGGUCAACUCUAAGAUCGCAGAAACUUCUGCUGGUGAUCCUCCGUCAACGUACCAUAGAUAUAGAUUCAGUGCGCUCCCUGUAUACGAGUGCACUCUUGAGGGUCUCCAAGCAGCAUACUCGGGCAGCAUGCCCUAUGUCAAAGAUGGCUUGCUGUUCUACAACAAGCAUGCACAUUAUCAAGCUGGGAUUACUCCCCUUGCCCUGGUAUGGAAAGAUGAGACUUGUAGCCAAUAUGUUAUUGAUACAGACAAGAAAGGAGAAAUACCAAGUGAACAACAUCUUGUGUUGGAGCUGCUAGAAGAUGGAAGCGUAGUUACUUCUGACGAUCCUCCUGUUGCAUUUGGUAGCUUGGACAGUGCGUUCAUACAGAAGUCAAACCUGCGACCAGGGAAUCUUCUCCGCUUUGCAGUUAGAGAUGAAAGUGUGAAACUUGUGGACGGAAAGAUGCAGAUCGGUCAGCUGCAGUUUGUGGGAAAGCCAAACCGUGCUCGUGCUUUUGCUGACAGCCAUUCAAAAGUUUUGUUCCAGUAUGCAGCGAGGCAUGUUCCUCUGAGAAUUGAGGAUCUGGUUGCCUCCAUUCAAUCAAACAACAUGGAGCUUGAAUCCACUGACGUUGAAAUGCAAGAUUAAGGAAGGGGACUUUGUUAUCAAUUGAAACUUUUUGUAACGUAUGAAUGACGAUGCAAAGCUAGCACGUAAGGAGAUGCAAAUGCAACUAAAGGUUGAAGAUGCUUUCAUGUCAGGAUUUCAGCAAAUGACGUGAUUGUCUGAAACACAUGUUUUACCUCAAGGCCUGUAAAAGGUUUAAACAACGCAUGAGUUUUUGGAAAGAUGAACAUUCUGAACAUUGCCAUCCACGUGGAUGUGACGGAUAUAGUGCAACUCAAAGUGUGAAGGAAAAAAGUGUUGUAUCUACAUAAUUGGAUUUCUCCGUAUUUGAUGAUCCUCGCUGCCAGUGUGGACACAUACGAAUCUAAUUGUCUAACAUAGUGUCCUUUUUUUUUAAAAAAAAUAUUACUGAGCAAAUCAAUGUAGUAGCUGCGAGCUGCUGUCUUGGUUGUUUAUUGCAGACUAAAAAAGGAUGCGUUAGCAGUCA
Molecule: RNA transcript, 1804 nt
Organism: Sorghum bicolor (sorghum)
Lineage: Eukaryota; Viridiplantae; Streptophyta; Magnoliopsida; Poales; Poaceae
Gene name: snurportin-1
Exons: 9
Source: RefSeq, a predicted model, not a curated record